GUCCCAGCCCAAGCCCAGAGCAUGCAAGAGGGAGCUGGCCCAGGAGAUACGGCCAGGACACAUUCUUCUGGUGACCUUAUCCCAAGGGGCUUUGGGAAGCAAAGGAGCUAUUUUGGGAGUUCACCUUAGCUGAAUCUGCUGGUGAGGGGCCCCAGCCGCCUGAGACUGACUGAAGCCUCGGUCUGACUCUGCCUCGUGGCCUUCGCCAAAGUUGAAUAGCAGAUGCUCAAUAAAUGCUUUCUUAACUUCUCGG
Molecule: long non-coding RNA, 253 nt
Organism: Carlito syrichta (Philippine tarsier)
Lineage: Eukaryota; Metazoa; Chordata; Mammalia; Primates; Tarsiidae
Exons: 2
Source: RefSeq, a predicted model, not a curated record